UACGUAGGUGACCAGAGUUGUCCGGAUUUACUGGGCGUAAAGAGCGCGCAGGCGGUCGUUCAAGUCGAGUGUGAAAGCCCCCGGCUCAACUGGGGAGGGUCACUCGAUACUGAUCGACUUGAAGGCAGGAGAGGGAAGCGGAAUUCCCGGUGUAGUGGUGAAAUGCGUAGAUAUCGGGAGGAACACCAGUGGCGAAGGCGGUUUCCUGGCCUGUUCUUGACGCUGAGGCGCGAAAGCUAGGGGAGCAAACGGG
RNAcentral lists this ribosomal RNA (253 nucleotides) under uncultured bacterium. RNAcentral describes it as "partial 16S ribosomal RNA". It matches the Rfam family "Bacterial small subunit ribosomal RNA", at positions 524 to 776 of the family's 1533-position model. The record is from RNAcentral.